CCUACGGGGGGCAGCAGUGGGGAAUAUUGGACAAUGGGGGCAACCCUGAUCCAGCCAUGCCGCGUGUGUGAAGAAGGCCCUCGGGUUGUAAAGCACUUUCAGUGAGGAAGAACGCCUGGUGGUUAAUACCCAUCAGGAAAGACAUCACUCACAGAAGAAGCACCGGCUAACUCCGUGCCAGCAGCCGCGGUAAUACGGAGGGUGCGAGCGUUAAUCGGAAUUACUGGGCGUAAAGCGCGCGUAGGUGGCUUGAUAAGCCGGUUGUGAAAGCCCCGGGCUCAACCUGGGAACGGCAUCCGGAACUGUCAAGCUAGAGGGCAGGAGAGGAAGGUAGAAUUCCCGGUGUAGCGGUGAAAUGCGUAGAGAUCGGGAGGAAUACCAGUGGCGAAGGCGGCCUUCUGGACUGACACUGACACUGAGGUGCGAAAGCGUGGGUAGCCAACAGGAUUAGAUACCCUAGUAGUC
RNAcentral lists this ribosomal RNA (465 nucleotides) under Vreelandella stevensii. RNAcentral describes it as "partial 16S ribosomal RNA". It matches the Rfam family "Bacterial small subunit ribosomal RNA", at positions 338 to 795 of the family's 1533-position model. The record is from RNAcentral. Lineage: Bacteria; Pseudomonadati; Pseudomonadota; Gammaproteobacteria; Oceanospirillales; Halomonadaceae.